AUGGCGGCUGGAACACGAGAAUCCUAGCGACCCCAGACACCCUUGGUCUUUAAAGGAGUCGUCUUUAGUGAGAUGAAGGGAGGGUUUGACAGGGAUAAAGACGUGCACACCUGCAGUGCGGACUUUCACAGCCUGGCAAUGAGGGCUUUCAGCCUCACAGGUGCCCCAAGCGCCAUCUCUGCCGGGAGCUAUGUGGAUGCAUCGGUGACAAAAUGGAAAGCCUCUGGUCCUGGCGGAGCUUGUUCCAAUCAGGAGAGACCCGAAAGCAAGAAACACAGUGAACAAAUGCAUGAUGCCCAGGGGUGGAUGGCCGCAGCACACGCCACCCAUCGCCGUGACCACACUGUCCCUCAGAGGAGCCGCUGGCCACGUGUGUCCCGUCCACAUGGAGAUGUACUUGAAGAUUCUUUACACACUGGGUUUCAAAGACUUAAGGUCUCACUCUGUUGCCCAGGCUGGAGUGAACCGGUGCAGUCACAGCUCACUGAAGCCUCCAACUCCUGGGAUCAGGCAAUCCUCUCACCUCAAUGUCCCACGGGGCUGGGACUGUAGGCAAAAAGGACGCCGCUUUCGCAUCCAGCCCACCCUAAGAAUGCCCCUGGACUUCCCAGUACACUCAGCUCCACCAGGCACCAGGCCCUGCAGAAGCCACAACCUGUGACGAAGACAAUGAGUCACUCUUGGUGUGUGGCACAGCGUGAUGUGGCGACACAGAGUCUCAUUAUGUGGUCCAGGCUGCUCUGGAACUCCUGGGCUCAAGUGACCCUCCUGCCUCAGCCUCCGAAAGCACUCGCAUGACAAGCAUGAGCCACUGUGCAGGACCCACAGCACUUAAAUUCCAAAAUCACCUUGAAACCCUGACCUUCCACCUGCCCUGGUGGCUUCCAGAGGUCAGUUCCUCUUCCCGUGCCGAAGGUUUCUUGUCUUUCGCGGCCCAGGUAAGGUCACUCCAGGUGCUCCCUCUGCUUUUGAAGGCCUUUGACUGAGAAGCCACUCUGGGUCCUAUUAGGACCCCAAGGCGGCUCCAUUCGUACUCGCACAUCUCCCGGCCGGUUUAAGUCACGCUGGCCAGGCUAUUUCCACUUCACUCUCCUAAUUUCUCCAAUCCCAUCCUCUGCUGCAUCACCUUUUCUUUCUCUGAGAACCCAACCCUGCAGGAGGAACGCUGAUGCUGGGGUCCUUUAACUAGAACGCUAACGCCAGAGCACUUCCCCGGGCGCUGGGGGGCGGGCUGCCGGGCGGGGCCUGGCGCUGCCACCGGGGUGUCCCGCGGGGAGGGGGGCGCUGGGCCUAGGGAGGCUGCGCUGCUGGCUCGGGGAGCGCGCGGCGUACGGAUGUCAGGGCCAGGGCGCAUGGAGACGACGGGCCGGGCAUCACGUAGGCGCUCGCGGCGGGCGGGGCGGCGCUGACAGCGCCCCAACAUGCAGCACCCGUGCCGCCCCGAGCGCUCAAGGGCGAAGGGAAGGUCACCGGGACCGAGGGCGGGGGCCCAUUCCCGCUCCAUCCUUGUGCAGUGCGCGGUCCCGAAACGGGAGGAAAUCCGCCAUCCGCGCCUUUCCACGCAUCUGCGGCAGGAGGAACCGGGAAAAUAAAAAUCAAAACCCAGCCCCGGGCGCGUCGCGUCUCCAGCCCGCGCUAUCACUAAGGCUCCCAGGUGGCGUUCGCCUGGGAAGCGCCGAUCUACCCGCCAGGGGCUGCGCGGCCUGGGGCGCUCCACCGUCCGGGCACCGGCGCCCUCACGUGCACCCGGGGCCUGGGGCGUGCAGUCUCCACCACCUCCGGCUCUUCAAUGUUAAAUGUCCUCCUGGCGCGCCCGCGUCGUGGACCCAGACUCGGGUCCCUCCUGGAGAGCCGCUUCCACAUUGCAGGGCAGGGGAAACCCAGAGCCCGCGCCGCGGCGCCGCUGACGUCCCGGAGUCCCCGCUUCCUGGUCCUUCUCCUCCGCGGAGGUCUGCGGGGAGGGCCUGGGACCCAUUUUAGUUUUCGGUUUUCUCACGAGCCGAAAGGCAACAGCACAUGCGAGCGCAGGAAACCCAUUUUUAAAAUCUCCCAGCGGAAACGCGAGGGGCUGCCGGACCGCCUCGGAGACGCCAGGCGGGAACCCAGAGCACUCCCUCCGCGUCCCGCAUUGCAGCAGCCAGGACCCCGCCCACGCCGCGCGGGGCACGAGGCGACAGGAGGCGCGCGGGGACCCGGCCGUUUCUUCCUCGACAUGCUGGGGGGCGGCGUGGGGCGGAGUUGAAGGGCGGGGGGCCACUUAGGAAGUGAUCGCGCUGUACCCACGCUUCGGAGGGGAAGCCCGGCCGGGUCCUACAGCUCAGAGGCAGAACGACUCCCGAGGGUCCUCCAGGCGACCCCCUCUGUCAGGCUCAAUUUAAAACAUAAACCGGAGGGGGUGGAAAGCUCACUAUCUUCCGGAUGGAGGUUCCUACCGCCAUGUCCCUUCCUCCUCCGCCCCACCCGGCAAGGACCCGGGGGCUGCCUUGCUGGCUCAUGCCGCCCCGCAGGUACCCCUGCCGCUGCCGGGCACGGGCUUCUCCCCAGUUCUCCCCAUCGCUUCCCCGCUCUUCUCCCUGGUUCUUCCCAUCGCUCCUCCACCUUUCCCCGCGUCCUCCCGUCGCUUCCCCCCUCUUCUGCCCCAUCCCCCAAAUCCCCUUCGCCUUGUUCUCCUCGGCUCCGUCCGCCCCUCCCUCGCCGCCGGGAGGGAGGUGCGCACCUUGAGCAUCCUCGCCUCUGGUCAGCACGCCGACUGCCUUGCCGGCCCCGGAGAGGUGCUCCAGGAACUUCCGCAAGGAGCCCUUAGGGGCCUGGGAGUCGUCAGUGUCCAUGGCGAGGAGGUCGAGAGGAGCCGCUAGUCCCGGUGCGCAGUAGGCAAUGUGGACCCUGCCCGCGCCCGCGGGAGUCGGAACUGCUGCCCCGCCCCGCCCCAGGGCCAAUGGGCGGUGACGGGCGGGGCCCGAGCGCACGGGAGGGGCUGCGGGAGCGGGGGCGUGGCUAGGUGCAGGGAAAGGGGCAGGUGCGGGCGGGGUGCGGGAGUGGGCAGGAGCACCUACGCCGGGGUCGUCGUAGGUGGGGGCCGUGCUAGUGGUGAGGUGGGCCGCAGACGUGGGGAUAGCGCCACAGGGCCUUGGUUUGCUGAGAGUCUUCACACUCAAUCCAAAAUGGGGAUAAUGAAGUCUCACGGAUUCGGCUUCAGCUGAGAGCUGCCUCCAGCACAGUCUUGUGUGAGUAACAGUUUCUAUGUUUGGUG
Molecule: non-coding RNA, 3250 nt
Organism: Chlorocebus sabaeus (green monkey)
Lineage: Eukaryota; Metazoa; Chordata; Mammalia; Primates; Cercopithecidae
Source: RefSeq, a predicted model, not a curated record